RNAcentral lists this ribosomal RNA (440 nucleotides) under uncultured bacterium. RNAcentral's name for it is "partial 16S ribosomal RNA". It matches the Rfam family "Bacterial small subunit ribosomal RNA", at positions 338 to 795 of the family's 1533-position model. The record is from RNAcentral.
CCUACGGGAGGCAGCAGUAGGGAAUAUUGCUCAAUGGGGGAAACCCUGAAGCAGCAACGCCGCGUGGAGGAUGAAGGUUCUCGGAUUGGAAACUCCUUUUGUUAGAGAAGAUAAUGACGGUAUCUAAUGAAUAAGCACCGUCUAACUCCGUGCCAGCAGCCGCGGUAAUAUGGAGGGUGCAAGCGUUACUCGGAAUCACCGGGCGUAAAGGGCGCGUAGGCGGGUUAGCAAGUCAGAUGUGAAAUCCUAUGGCUUAACCAUAGAACUGCAUUUGAAACUGUUAUUCUAGAGUAUGGGAGAGGUAGGUGGAAUUCUUGGUGUAGGGGUAAAAUCCGUAGAGAUCGAGAAGAAUACUCAUUGCGAAGGCGACCUGCUAGAACAUAACUGACGCUGAUGCGCGAAAGCGUGGGGAGCGAACAGGAUUAGAUACCCCAGUAGUC